Molecule: long non-coding RNA, 412 nt
Organism: Schistocerca gregaria
Lineage: Eukaryota; Metazoa; Arthropoda; Insecta; Orthoptera; Acrididae
Exons: 3
Source: RefSeq, a predicted model, not a curated record
GUCAUUUGUGCCAGUCCCUCUCAGUAAAGGUAACACAACAGACAAUCAGGGUGUAUGCUGCAAAUUGCACAGAACAUUUCCACGAGCCUUGAACAAUUUUGCUUCAGAUCUAGGAACAAAACUCUAGAAGGGGUCAAAUGUUUGAUUUCAACUGAUAAGCUGCUCCUGCCAGCCACUGUUCGAAGAGUCUUCUUAGAGGGAACAAUUAAUACUCAGCACCCACUGUUGGCAUAAGAAAACAUAUUUGCGGCAGAAUUACACCUGCAGGGCCACAUGUUACUUAUCAGCAAGUCAUAUUCAAAACUGUGCACUGGUAUAAAAAUUGUUAUGGUUCUGUAUGAUUAUUUCUUUCAUUCUCUCUCUUCAUGUAUUUUUAUGGUGUCUAAAUAUAUUUCACCAAUACACAUAAAUA